UGCGUGAAAGUGAGCUCAGAUGUAACCUAAACCCAUGGAACUUGGAAAAAGAAGCAUCUGCCGAGAGGAGCGGGGUUGAUCUUGAUUUGCUUUCAGGGAGUUGCCACGGAGCAUCGUCUGCAGAGACCUGCAUUAUGUGAAGCAGCAUCUUCUUUCCCCUUGAUGUUGAAACUGGAUGAAGGAUCUUGUCAGGCUCACAGAUACCUAAAUCAUAUCAACAAGAAGUUUAUGGAAAAGAGAACUACAAUCAUCAUAAACCCAAUCAUGUUUUACUUGGUGUUGAAGGACAUUAAAAAAUACCUCCCACCUUAAUUUACUAAAUUAUCAAACAAAUCCUGUUCCCCGAUCUCAGAAGACCACCUGGCUCAGUAUCACAAAGCACCCUGAUUUCUCCCUCAUCUUGAGAUGUCAGGAUCCCUCAGAAAACUUCGUAGAGGUGCCCUAGAGAGAAUCAGAGCACCAGUGGAACAACAGCAGUGAGAAGCUCAUCAGCUUCACGAACUGACCACAGACCAAUCAGUGAAUUCCUGUCCUGCUUUCACUUUGCUUUCCGUGCUAUGUGGAAAUAAGAGCUCUCCUCAUGGGUCCAGUGUGAGGAACAGAUAGCAAGCACUGAUUGGGUGGAACCAGCCAAAGGGAUUGUCUCCUGGCUUGAUUCAGCUCUUCAGGCCCUGGAGAUGAAGUUCUGUGUCAGGCACCAAGCAUCUGUAUGCGGUAGGCAGCUGGAGGUCACUCUCUUGAUCACCUCUUGUGUGGACAAGUUUUCUUACAAGCAGAAGCCCAUCCCCAGGCAUCCUCUAGUGCUGACUGACGAGAUAGGAGCAAAACUCAUGCAACCUGCCUUUCAGAUGCAAAUAGAACAUUCCUAAGUCCUUUGAGGCACUCUGCCAAUGUGGCUCCUUCCAUUUUGUGGCUCUGCCGGUCUUCUUGAACACAUGGCUCCUGAGGCUGGGGUAGAGAAAGGUAUUCACGUGACCAGAUUCACGUCUGUCAGAUUUAGUUAACACACUUCAACAGUGCGACUAAAAGGAACUGCACCCAGAGCUUGCAAGCCAGUGCCCUGCUCAUCCCUGCACCAGGGUGGAGGAAUAGUCACCAAAGCUUCUGGUGGCUGCCCAAGUUCUUGGCUUGUGGCUGCAUCACUCCAGUCUCUGUGACCACAGGCCUUCUCUUGUGUCACCACGUUGCCUUCUGCUUCCCUAUUAUAAGAACACACCUGACUAUAUCUAGAGUUCACCCAGAUAAUCCAAGAUAAUCUCCCCAUCUCAUGAUCCUUAAUCGUAUCUUCAGAAUCCUUUUUAACAUAUAAGUUCUAGUUAGGUGAAAACAUAGCUCUCUAGUAGUUUGCUGCACAUUUCCUGUGAAAGUGAAGAUUCUCCUUUCUUAAUGAAGAGCAGCUCAUAUAUGAUGACAAAACAGAGGCAAGAGAGCAUAUGUUGGAGAACCUGGCGUUCUAUGUCAUGAGAGAAUGAACCAGAAUGGGGCAUAUGCUUCUAACCUGAAGACAAGACUGCAGAAUUGACUAUAUACACAGUCCUGUGUCACUUAAAGACAGGGAUACAUUCUGAGAAAUGCAUCAUGAGGCAGUUUCAUCAUUGUGCGAAUAUCAUGGAGUGUCCUUACACAAAGCUAGACGGUAUACACCUACUACAUACCUAGCCUCUAUGGUAUAGCCUGUUGAUCCUAGGUUACAAACCUGUACAGCAUGUUACUGUAUUCAAUACUGUAAGCAUUUAUGACACAAUGGCACGGUCUUCCCAUUUCCCAGAUGAAGAAACUGAAGCAAAAAGAUACAUCACUGGCUUAUCUGAUUAGACACAGCAGAGUAAGGCAUCUGCCCCAGGCAAUGGAGAAAUUGAAGCUCCAAAUGGCUAAGCAAUCUACCCAAGAUCACACAGCCAGAUUGGUGGCAUCUAAAAUUCGAACCCAGUCCUGAUGUGCUGAACUUCGCAUCUGGAUUUCUCAAAAUGCACAGAAAAUUAAAAGCAGGUUAUUGAAACCCAUUUUCUGGGUCCUGAAGGAUAACUGUUAGCCUUGGAUGAUCAGAAGGAGCAGCUAUGCACCUAUUAGGCUUUGUCAGCCUUGGCCACACUGGGUUAUGGGGAUUCCUAACCUCCUGAACACUACUCACUAGUUUGGUGAUUAUCUAUCUCCUUGAGAGAAGGCAAGUAUGGCCCAAUGGAAAUAGCACAGCCUUGGAGUCGGGACACCUGAGCAUCUUGCCUCAUUCUGCCAUGUACAAACUCUGUGGCCUCCAGCAAGUUCCUUUACCACUCUGAACCACAGUGUCCUCAUCUGCAGAGGGACGACAACCCCUAUUUGAUGAUUGUUGGGAGAAUUCAAGAUAAUGUAUGCAAACAACUUACCUACACUUGUACAUUCAACUAUCAUCUUCUUCAAAGAAGAAACUGUGGCAGGUGCUAUUCCACAACCCAUGUUUAUGUUCAAGCUUUGUUGGAUUCCUGUUUGGGAAUUUCCUUCCGAGGCGGGCGGUGUCACAUUCAUUUGAAGUCAGUCAAUAAUGACCCAGAUGUGGCACAUGAAACAGAGUUGGCCAGGAAAAAGAAGUCCCUGUAAAGCUCAUGUCAGAGAGAGAGAGAGAAGGAAGAAGCAUGGAUGGGCCUUAAAGAUAUUCUAGGAAGAUGUGGCCAAGGAGAAACAACUUCCUAUUCCUAUCCUGUAGCCUGCCAAGCCUGAGAAGCUACCUCCCUGAAAAUCUUCCUAGGACUCCUCAGCUUCCUCAAUGCUACCAAAUACCCACUAUCUCCAUAGACACACACAAAUGACAGAAGUAAAAGGAGCCACGAAGAUGAUGGAAGUCGGUUACCACAUCGUCCCUAACUGUAGGGAAUGGGUAUAAUAACACAUCUGCCUCUUCAAAUUGUGGUGAAGAUGAAAACAGUGCAUGUUUUAGGCUGAACUACCUGAAAUUACCAGGGUUUUAUAGAGAAUGAUUGGCCUGGAGCAAGCAUAGAAGCAGAGAGGUGCAUAAGGAGGCUAUUGCAACAGCUCAGCUGAGAAAUAGUGUAGGCAGAGCCCAGGGCAGCAGCAGUGUGCCUGAAGAGGAGUGGAUGAAAAUGAACUAUUUCCAAGUCCUCCUGGGACUCCAGUAAGACAAGUCUUGCCUUUCAUGUGGACUCAUACAAUGGUGCUCACAUUGGCGGAGUAAGAAGCACUGCACAGAAAUAGCUCAUUGGCAGAAUUGCGCUCUCAAGGAUGGAUAUCUUCAAGCCAUCCUUGACCCUCUAGAGCAGAAAGACAAACAAGUGUAAUGCUGAGGAAUGGGAAAAAUGUUUAAUUGCAAGCAGAAGAAUCUCACGUGAAAUUUUUACAAAUGAGGAAACGGAAGCACAAAAAGGCUGUGCUAAGGUCAAGCAGAUCAUACUGCCUAACAGGAUUUUGGCACCAUUGGUAGUCACUUUGACAUGUCAAUAAUGAUAAUUGCAAAGAAGACUGUUGUUCCAAGUAAUGGAUAACACAGCAUCUGAACCUACCUGGAUACUUUUUCAAUAUCUAAAGAAUUAUGUUGUAUAAAAAGAUGCUCGAAGCCCAGAAAAAAUAAAAGAUGAGCACUUCUGGAAAUUACUAUCUUAAACUUGUUCUGCAGAAUUACUCCAUUUUUGUCCUCUGUUAACAUUUUAAGAAGAUUCCAGUUCUUUUUGGACCUUUUUAGUUGUAAUGGAGCCCAGCCCAUGCCUUUGAGGCAGGGAGCAGGGAAAUGGUGAAAGUCAAGUGACUCUUAGCUUGCGCUGUUGUCAUCCUCUCUGGACUAUUGCUACAUUUCUAGACUACUCUCAUUCUCAGCCCACGUAGGAAAUCAGAAGAUAAUUUAAAAUUAAAUAAUGAUGGCUCAGAGCUUAAAGCACUUAAAAAAGAGAAGAAAGAAAAGCAUCACAUCUUGACAGUGCUGGGAGUGAUGGUGGAAAGCUUGCCAAGGAGGCCCGGAAGAGUGGUUGGAAAGACCAUUAUUCAUAACAAAAACCAACUCAAAAUGGAUUAACGACUUAAACAUAAGGCUGGAAAUGGUAAAACUCCUUGAAGAAAACAUAGGAAAACGUGUCUUGACAUUGGUCUGGGCAACAAAUUUUUUUGGAUAUGACGACAAAAGCACAGUUUACCAUGGAAUAAAGUUGGUGUUCAGUGAAUAGAUGCUGAAAAAAGUAAAAUUUGCCUCUAGAGAUGUCAUCACUACUUCCUGUGAGAUACAAAGUUUUGUUACUAAAGAGAACAAUAACAAAAAUAAACAACAGUAACAAAGUGGAUUUGAAAAGAAACUUUCCUCUCAAGAAAAAAAGGAAAAAAGACAGGCUUAGUGUAAAAAUGGAAAGACCCUUGACUAAAACUGACAUUUAAAGACCAGAUUGGAGGGAUAAGAAAGCAAAAGAGGAAAAUCAGAUACUCAAGCUUUCUGAACUCAGAAAGGAAAAAAGCAGAGGAGACAGAUCAAAGAAUCAAAACUCCAUUAAGGGCAACAACUGGAAAGUAAAGGGAUGAGGGUGUCCCUGCAAGAUACAGAAGCAUUUUGAUUUAGCUGUAGAAACAGAGGAAGGUCACACAAAAACAGAGGGGAGGCUACAUGAAAACUACCCUCUGUUACUCAGGAGAGAAGCUAGGAUUGACAUUCAGUUUUUUUCUCACUCUCCAUUCAGAGAACUGCUCUCUAGAUUAUUCACCUCUUGAUAUUUACCCAUAAACUUGAUAACCAGAUUAGAAUAAUGCCUGCUCAUGAAGGAUUCGUGCUAUGACAACUCAGCCACCUUGCGUUUUCUAGCUACUGUCAUGUACCUUUAUACCCCUUAAACCUGACCUUGAAACCAAAAAAAAAAAAAAAAAAAAA
This 4837-nucleotide long non-coding RNA is filed under the name Homo sapiens (human). RNAcentral's name for it is "uncharacterized LOC101929563 (LOC101929563)". Lineage: Eukaryota; Metazoa; Chordata; Mammalia; Primates; Hominidae. The record is from RNAcentral.